CCCUGUUCCAGGCGCCCAGAGCAAGUCAAGUCCCGCCGGCCAGAGCGGUGUCACGAAGUGAGAGUCUCUGGAGGCAGAUGAAUCUUGAAAGUCAUAUGUGGAAGAAGCACAAGAUAGAAAGGAGGCUGAGUUUCUGGGUCACUGUCACACUAGAAAUGUUUACAUGCACUGUUGGAUCAUUAUUGAGCCAUUGCCAUGUAUAAACCACCAUGCUGGGCUCUAUAGGCAAUGAAAAAAGAAUAUUAGAGACUACCUCACAGUCUCCACCCUCCAGGAUCUUAAAUU
Molecule: long non-coding RNA, 285 nt
Organism: Suricata suricatta (meerkat)
Lineage: Eukaryota; Metazoa; Chordata; Mammalia; Carnivora; Herpestidae
Exons: 3
Source: RefSeq, a predicted model, not a curated record